This 72-nucleotide transfer RNA is filed under the name Cricetulus griseus (Chinese hamster). It matches the Rfam family "tRNA". Rfam says of the family: Transfer RNA (tRNA) molecules are approximately 80 nucleotides in length. Their secondary structure includes four short double-helical elements and three loops (D, anti-codon, and T loops). The record is from Rfam by way of RNAcentral. Lineage: Eukaryota; Metazoa; Chordata; Mammalia; Rodentia; Cricetidae.
UGUGAUAGAGUUCAUUGGUAGAGUGCCUGCUUAGCAUGCAUGAGGUCCUGGGUUCAAUUCUUAGUACCACUU